Gekko japonicus is the source of this 1539-nucleotide long non-coding RNA. RefSeq lists it as uncharacterized. The record is from RefSeq and is a predicted model, not a curated record. NCBI's taxonomy places the organism in Eukaryota, Metazoa, Chordata, Lepidosauria, Squamata, Gekkonidae. The transcript is spliced from 3 exons.
CUUCCCGCUGGACUUGCUUCCCGGGUCCGAGGGCAGGAGCCGGGCUACCCGGCACGUGCACGUCUGCGCACGAUCCUUCACACUCAGACGCGCACUUCCACUGUGCCGCUCUCUUUGGCGAAGGCACUCGCUCCUUCCACCACGCAGCUGCCUCGGUGCGUCCUCCCCUCUCACGCGCGCACACACUCGCACCUCCCGCAGCCAGAUCCGAUCGCGCUCAGAAGACGCGCGAGCUCGUCAAAAGUACUUUCUCACGACCAGUGCAGCGCGGGAGAAAGAGAGCCCGCGGCCCCAGGAAACUGCCAGAAGAGUUUUCUCGGCAUCGACCUAUCUCGGGAGAGGAAACGGAGCGCCUUGCCGGGACUGAGUAUCGCUUCUUAGGACCUGCCAACUGAUCAGGAAAAAGGUGAACUGGCUAGCUCUUGCGCACCGAACUGCAGCAUGGUCCAGCUUUCCCCAUCACUGGACAGCCAUGCUGAGAAGUGCUGCUUUUGUUGAACCCUUGCCUGUCACACUCAGCGGCUGAAGGCACAAGACCUCUGUCAGAAAAGAAAAUGGCAAUCUGCUUCCCCCCUUGUGUCUUCCCCUAAACUCACCCAAUCUGGCACAAAGAAAUGCUAAUUCAAAUGCUAAAUUACUUUCAGGCAGUACUGUGAAUCUUUUGACAAAACAAGCAUGAUCCAGAGCACAGCAUUUGCAGGAUAUGAAACCCAGCACCAUGUAAAGGAGGAUGUACCUUGUUUACCUCAUCUGCAAACCAACCCUCAUCCAAGGAGCUUGGGGAGUUUGUCCUAUAUUAUCCUCACACAGAGCUGGAUGUAUACAAAAGCUAAGUAAGUGACAAUUUAGGACCUCAGAUUAGUAGGAAACUGCAAUUAAAAAUGAACAAACCGCAAAAUUACUAAAUUUUCCUUUUGAGUGGGGAUAAUGCUAUGCGGGGGAAUUUGACACAGCUUCAGUCCUCAGCAUGUCUUAGUCCAGCCCCACCCUCACAAUUGUGUAUUGUGUUCAUUUGUUAGCUUCGCAGGGGUUUUAACCGGGGUCUCCCCACCGCACACCACUGGCUCUGUAGAAUAUUUACCUUUCCAAGACAUGUAAAUACUAUUUUUGAGGGACAUUUCAGCUGGCUAUUUUUCCAUUUGGAAUAUGCUUGCAGGUUUUGACUUGAGUAUGAGUUGGGGGGCACUGGUCACUUUUAAGUAUUUAGCCCUUACUUGUGUGUGGGGGGGGGUUGAUUGUUUAAUUUUGUGGUGUUUUAUUCGUUGUUGGUAUUCCAUGUUCUUUUUAAAACAAUUCUAUUGGUCAUGAUGACUAAUGUUUAAUUUCUAUUGUUGGUUGCCUUGAGAGUACCACUGACAGGCAGGGUGUAAAAUGUAAAAAUAAAGAAGAACAAGAAUAAAUAUUGGCGUCUCUCAUCAUUGUGAGGAUCCUGGCCGGUGUGGCUAUUCUCUCCCCCUUUGACAUUCUGAAAUGACAAGGCCUACCUGCCAAACAACUGUGCUGAUGUCGAAGGUCCCAGGAACCUUGCCCUCUGUUCCA